UUCAUUUACCUUCUAUUUUCUCCUCUGUAG
This 30-nucleotide non-coding RNA is filed under the name Cricetulus griseus (Chinese hamster). Lineage: Eukaryota; Metazoa; Chordata; Mammalia; Rodentia; Cricetidae. The record is from RNAcentral.